RNAcentral lists this ribosomal RNA (253 nucleotides) under uncultured Ohtaekwangia sp. Its description in RNAcentral is "partial 16S ribosomal RNA". It matches the Rfam family "Bacterial small subunit ribosomal RNA", at positions 524 to 776 of the family's 1533-position model. The record is from RNAcentral. Lineage: Bacteria; Pseudomonadati; Bacteroidota; Cytophagia; Cytophagales; Fulvivirgaceae.
UACGUAGGUGGCAAGCGUUGUCCGGAUUUAUUGGGUUUAAAGGGUGCGUAGGCGGCCGCCUAAGUCAGUUGUGAAAUAUCCCGGCUCAACCGGGAGGGUGCGAUUGAUACUGGGCGGCUCGAGUAACAGCGAGGUUGGCGGAAUUGACGGUGUAGCGGUGAAAUGCAUAGAUAUCGUCAAGAACACCGAUAGCGAAGGCAGCCAACUAGGGGUUAACUGACGCUGAGGCACGAAAGUGCGGGGAUCAAACAGG